ACCGGCGGCCCGAGUGGUGAUCGUGAUUAUUGGGUCUAAAGGGUCCGUAGCCGGUUUGGUCAGUCCUCCGGGAAAUCUGAUAGCUCAACUAUUAGGCUUUCGGGGGAUACUGCCAGACUUGGAACCGGGAGAGGUAAGAGGUACUACAGGGGUAGGAGUGAAAUCUUGUAAUCCCUGUGGGACCACCUGUGGCGAAGGCGUCUUACCAGAACGGGUUCGACGGUGAGGGACGAAAGCUGGGGGCACGAACCGGAUUAGAUACCCGGGUAGUCCCAGCCGUAAACGAUGCUCGCUAGGUGUCAGGCAUGGCGCGACCGUGUCUGGUGCCGCAGGGAAGCCGUGAAGCGAGCCACCUGGGAAGUACGGCCGCAAGGCUGAAACUUAAAGGAAUUGGCGGGGGAGCACAACAACGGGUGGAGCCCUGCGGUUUAAUUGGACUCAACGCCGGACAACUCACCGGGGGCGACAGCAAUAUGUAGGCCAAGCUGAAGACUUUGCCUGAAUCGCUGAGAAGAGGUGCAUGG
Molecule: ribosomal RNA, 524 nt
Filed under: uncultured archaeon
Lineage: Archaea
Description: bacterial SSU rRNA
Rfam family: Archaeal small subunit ribosomal RNA
Source: RNAcentral